GAAUGUAGAUCGGAGGCUCCCGUUCCCCCUUGCACCAGUAGGACGGAAGAGAAGUACAUUUUGAACGCCGAAAGAAUGGGCAGAUGGAGUGAGGGCGGAAGGAGCAGUAAAUACCUGUGCGUCUGCGCAGCAGGAGGGCGGUAACUAAGAUGAUGAUGCUGACGCCUGCCAGAGCAAUCGUGGCUCUGUAGAUGGCUCCUGGGCUGAACUAUACCUCCCCUCCUGCUGAGAGGAGUGACACCAGUUCACACCAGCUGGGGAACUAGCCCCAUCAACACCGAUGGAGUAACGGCCGAUUGACACCAGCUGAGGAUCUGGCCCACAGCCUCACACAUCUAUCACUGCAGUCAUCUGUAAGUGACUGUCCAGAAGCAAAAGGCCCAGCCCAUGGACUAAGCUAGCACUAACCCUGGGAGAUGCCUCCAAGGUUGUGUGAUGAAGGGAUCUCCUGCUGUUCCCUGCGUCUCCCUUUGCUGCACAGUCAGAUCUGACUCUUCAGAGCUGCUGGGUCCAGACAGAGGCGUAUUCUGUGCGAGCCGGAGACUUGAAUGUGAUCUCGGCGUAGUGCAGACCCUCGCUCGCGUUACCACCAGCUCUGCUAUGCCCCUGUUGAAGACACAAAUCAAGUCACCCGGGCUCCAUCUCCCACUGCCGUCUUUCCAGCCCCGUUUCUACCAGAGUCACAUGGACCGCGCGUCAGCACUGUCUUGAAACUGACACCACCACCCAGUUAAACUCAGGCUCCAAUGUUAAUGGUCUCACCUUUGCCAGCUGCUGCUGUUGGGUGUCUGUGGAGGCUGCUGGGGAGGAAAGGAGGAGGCAUGGGUUAUUGUUGGAAGAGAUGAAUAGAGGUGUACAAACUGAACAGAGGACUGGAGAAUGUAGAUCGGAGGCUCCCGUUCCCCCUUGCACCAGUAGGACGGAAGAGAAGUACAUUUUGAACGCCGGAAGAACGGGCAGAUGGAGUGAGCGCGGAAGGAGCAGUAAAUACCUGUGCGUCUGCGCAGCAGGAGGGCGGUAACUAAGAUGAUGAUGCUGACGCCUGCCAGAGCAAUCGUGGCUCUGU
Molecule: long non-coding RNA, 1066 nt
Organism: Emys orbicularis (European pond turtle)
Lineage: Eukaryota; Metazoa; Chordata; Testudines; Emydidae
Exons: 3
Source: RefSeq, a predicted model, not a curated record